Punica granatum (pomegranate) is the source of this 79-nucleotide non-coding RNA. NCBI's taxonomy places the organism in Eukaryota, Viridiplantae, Streptophyta, Magnoliopsida, Myrtales, Lythraceae. The record is from Rfam.
AGCAAAGUGAUGAGACUCUUGUGUCUGAAUAUGAUGUGGAAUCACAGAUCAUAUAUGCCUUCAAAGUUCUCUGAUUGCU